RNAcentral lists this ribosomal RNA (422 nucleotides) under uncultured bacterium. Its description in RNAcentral is "partial 16S ribosomal RNA". It matches the Rfam family "Bacterial small subunit ribosomal RNA", at positions 360 to 774 of the family's 1533-position model. The record is from RNAcentral.
AAUAUGGUACAAUGGCGACAACCUGGAUCAGGCCAUUCCGCGGGUGUGAAGAAGGUCUUCGAAUUUUAAGGCCCUUUAGUUUGGGGGGAGGGGCGUUAGUUUAAUACCUGCAGUUUUGUAGGUUACGAACGGAUUAGGCACGGGCUAACUCUUUCCAAUCAGUCGCGGUAAUACAGAGGGUGCAAGCUUUAAUCGGAAUUACUGGGCGUAAAGCGCGCGUAGGUGGUUUAGUAAGAUGGGAGUGAAAGCCCCGGGCUUAACCUGGGAACUGCUUUCAAAACUGGCGAGCUAGAGUACGGUAGAGGGUAGUGGAAUUUCCUGUGUAGCGGUGAAAUGCGUAGAUAUAGGAAGGAACACCAGUGGCGAAGGCGACCACCUGGACUGAUACUGACACUGAGGUGCGAAAGCGUGGGGAGCAAACA